Dermacentor silvarum is the source of this 775-nucleotide long non-coding RNA. RefSeq lists it as uncharacterized. NCBI's taxonomy places the organism in Eukaryota, Metazoa, Arthropoda, Arachnida, Ixodida, Ixodidae. The record is from RefSeq and is a predicted model, not a curated record. The transcript has 3 exons.
GCUUAAGAAAUCUGCACUUCUGGCUGGCCCUCCAGUUUCUUAAACUUCAGUAGUGUCGUCCCAUAGUAGGUGGUCCUCAGUGGUGUCAGUUGAGCUUCAGAUGCCAGUUCUCUUGAAGCUUUUGAUGACAGUGUCAUCAGAAAUCAUGUUCUGUGCCUCUAGGACCAAUGGACACAACAGUUCCACUGGCAGCCUUCUAAACUUGCCUCCCGGUGCCAGGGAAUGAUCACAAAUACUGAAAGUCUGUGAUUCUUUGUAUGUAGAAGGCAGCUGCUGACAUGUUCUCAUGAAGCCCAUGCCGCCACAUGAAGCACAUCAUCCAGUUGCUGCUUGCGUUGAAGUUUGUAGUUGGAAUGCCCUGCUUCCUUCUGUUUUCACAACGCGGACGACACCGUGUCAAAGGAAGUUAUGGAAAAGAGACUGAAAGCAGUGCACUGGUACCCCUUGCAGCAAUUGGAUGUUAUAAAUGUGAUUUCCACAUCACACACAUACCAUGACCUGAAGUUUUGGAUGGAAUGGUGAGCAUAUUUAUGCAGUGAGCCAUCUUAAGUGCCGACUGGCAUACUCUAGUGUUCAAAGGCACUGAAUAUAUUCUAAUUAAGACUGCAAGACUGUAAUACAAUCACAGUCAGAAUUCAUCAAUUCAAUAAACAAUACACAUUUGAACAGUGGUCUCCGGUACAAUGGCAUACCGACAAACAGUAGAAUAGGUAGUAGACAGGUAGUAGACUUGUAGGCUUGUAGACCUGUAAACUUGUAUGCCGAUUGGCUAGUA